GAUGAAGAACAUAGCGAAAUGCGAUAAGUAGUGUGAAUUGCAGAAUUCCGUGAAUCAUCGAAUCUUUGAACGCACAUUGCGCCUUCUGGUAUUCCGGAAGGCAUGCCUGUUCGAGAGUCAUUAACAACCGUUUCGAUCCCUUUCUUUCAGAAAUUACAAAGAGGAAAAGGGUUUGGUUAUGGUGGAGGAGGGAAAGGGAGCGUUUAGCCUGUAAAAAAAGAGGCUGUGUUCCGCCUCCCCCCCAAAAUUGUACAGGCGGUCGUGUGCGCCCACGCAUCGAGGUGUUGUAAAAGCUGCCACGGCACUUUUCACCUGUGCAGUGCGAGAUUGGCCAGCCGGUUUAAAAACCCCUCCAAACAAUCAAAGGUUGACCUCGGAUCAGGUAGGGAUACCCGCUGAACUUAAGCAUAUCAAUAAGCGGAGGA
This 425-nucleotide unclassified non-coding RNA is filed under the name soil metagenome. RNAcentral describes it as "partial contains 5.8S ribosomal RNA, internal transcribed spacer 2, and large subunit ribosomal RNA". The stretch from base 1 to 120 matches the Rfam family "5.8S ribosomal RNA", at positions 35 to 154 of the family's 154-position model. The record is from RNAcentral.